GAAAUGCGAUAAGUAAUGUGAAUUGCAGAAUUCCGUGAAUCAUCGAAUCUUUGAACGCACAUUGCGCCCUCUGGUAUUCCGGGGGGCAUGCCUGUCCGAGCGUCAUUGCGAACCCCUCAAGCACGGCUUGUGAUGGGCCCUCCCGCGUCUUGGUCGUCAAGACGGGCCCGAAAUGCAGUGGCGGCUUCGCGGUUAUCCGAUCAGCCAGAGCGUAUGGGGACUCUCUCUCUUGUCACACGCCCGCGGCGCGGACCGACGCCUGUCGACCUUUAUUCAUCUUCUCUCGGUUGACCUCGGAUCAGGUAGGGAUACCCGCUGAACUUAAGC
RNAcentral lists this unclassified non-coding RNA (327 nucleotides) under plant metagenome. Its description in RNAcentral is "partial contains 5.8S ribosomal RNA, internal transcribed spacer 2, and large subunit ribosomal RNA". The stretch from base 1 to 105 matches the Rfam family "5.8S ribosomal RNA", at positions 50 to 154 of the family's 154-position model. The record is from RNAcentral.